CCACCAGAAAGGGGGGAGGGACAAUGAAAGAAUAACUCGGAAUAAAAUAUAAAAUUCGCGCUCUUCUUACAUUCCGAUCGACCAUUGUAUUGUCAGCGCCAUCUCUUGGAGAUCUGGAGAAUGUGUCGCACCUGCAAAGUACGGCGAGACAGAACCUCUGUAGUACCACAAGUGAUUGAGGCAGUGCAUAUGGCUAACUGAUUAGCUUCCGAUGCAGAACAUCCCGGAAGGCGAUUGAGGAUCUCCCACCCCUUUACCCUAGGAGGUAAGAAUUAGAGAGUAAGAUGGAAUCUGAUUGAGAGAACAACAUCCUCCUGACUAAAUCAGAAAAAUCUGCCGUAUACCUCCUUUUAUUCUUCCAAAUCGAUGACAAAAAUUGUACUUGGAUAAAGUUUUGUAAUUUUCAAAAGUAUUUGAAAACUUAUUAAUUGUAUUGUUUUUAAUAAAACUGCACACGA
Molecule: long non-coding RNA, 458 nt
Organism: Stegodyphus dumicola
Lineage: Eukaryota; Metazoa; Arthropoda; Arachnida; Araneae; Eresidae
Source: RefSeq, a predicted model, not a curated record